Pleuronectes platessa (European plaice) is the source of this 477-nucleotide long non-coding RNA. RefSeq lists it as uncharacterized. The transcript is spliced from 4 exons. NCBI's taxonomy places the organism in Eukaryota, Metazoa, Chordata, Actinopteri, Pleuronectiformes, Pleuronectidae. The record is from RefSeq and is a predicted model, not a curated record.
CACACAGACACACACACACACACACACAGACACACACAUAGACACACACACACGCAGUCAAACACAACCCCCUCUGGCCUUGGCACCUAGAAACAGACACAAAAUGAGGUCUACAUUAAACCGCAGAGGGAGAAAGGAGAGGAGUGAGGAGAGAGAAACAUGGAGGCAGAGCAGCAGCAGCAGCAGAGGAGGAGAACGUCCUGGAAUAACCCCGUGUUUUUCCACAGACCUUGAACAGAUUGGCUUCUUAAAGGAUGGAGAGUGUACACAGUGAAGGACUUCCUGGAACGGACCAGGUCACAUGUGGCAGAGUUCCCAGCGGCGGAAAGAUCAGAGGCUGCGCCCUGAUCCAACCAAUCAGCCAUCAAUGAGGCUCACCUGACCGGGGAGUCCUUUGGAAGCUGCUGUGCCAGGAUCAGAGGAGGAGGAUUCCAGCGUGGAGACGGCUUUACAUCACAUUUCAAUUAAUAAUGGUCA